RNAcentral lists this ribosomal RNA (200 nucleotides) under Gibbaranea occidentalis. Its description in RNAcentral is "partial 12S ribosomal RNA". The record is from RNAcentral. Lineage: Eukaryota; Metazoa; Arthropoda; Arachnida; Araneae; Araneidae.
UAUAUUUCACUUUUAUUUAUAUUUUAUAUACCACCAUCUUUUAGGAUUAAUAUAAAUAUUCUUUCCUUAAUAGAAACUUCUCAUAAGUUAGGUAAAGGUGUAGACUAUAUAAAAGAUAAGAUGGGUUACAUUAAGAAAUACUGAAGGAUAAUCAUUCAAAUAUUUUUGGAAAAAGGAUUUAUUAGUAAUAUUAAAAGAUU